This is a long non-coding RNA of Zeugodacus cucurbitae (melon fly), 641 nucleotides long. RefSeq lists it as uncharacterized. The transcript has 3 exons. The record is from RefSeq and is a predicted model, not a curated record. NCBI's taxonomy places the organism in Eukaryota, Metazoa, Arthropoda, Insecta, Diptera, Tephritidae.
CGUUUUAAAUAUUUAUUUUAUUUUGUUAAGUGUUUUUGGAUAUUUAUCCAUCUUAUAAAUGCAUUAUUUGUGUUGUUUUUAUUAUUAGUUUUUAUAAUUAAAAUAAUUUCAUUCCAGUUAUACGUGUGUGCGCAGGAAAGGAAGAGCAAGGAGGUUACGUUGGAAUUGGUGGAGUUUUUGGAUUUAGCACUGGUGCAAUAUAGUAUAACAACAACGCAGAAACAGUGGAUAAUAACAUGAUAUUGAAAACACAAAGGCGUUAGGCGUCAAUUGGUCCUUCCAUCGGAGUGGAGGUCUCCCUCUUCCUCGGCUUCCACCGAGUCCAUUCGAACAACAUGACCAAGCCCGCGUAGCCGCUGUCUUUUUUCACAACACAUACAGCUCAUCAUUUCAUCUUCUGCGGUAUUCGCCGUUGCCAAUGUUUAAGGGACCAUAAAUCCCCAAAACCUUUCUUUCGAAAACUCCUAGUGCCGUCUCAUCGGAUGUUGACAUCGUCCACGCUUCUUCACCAUAAUGUAGGACGGGAAUGAUGAGGGACUUGUAGAGUUUAGUUUUUGCUCAUCUAGGGAGGACUUUACUUUUCAAUUGCCUACUCAGACCAUAAACAUAAAUACUGGAGGAUUACAAUAGCUACUACUUUU